UGGGGAAUAUUGCACAAUGGGCGCAAGCCUGAUGCAGCCAUGCCGCGUGUAUGAAGAAGGCCUUCGGGUUGUAAAGUACUUUCAGCGGGGAGGAAGGCGAUAAGGUUAAUAACCUUGUCGAUUGACGUUACCCGCAGAAGAAGCACCGGCUAACUCCGUGCCAGCAGCCGCGGUAAUACGGAGGGUGCAAGCGUUAAUCGGAAUUACUGGGCGUAAAGCGCACGCAGGCGGUCUGUCAAGUCGGAUGUGAAAUCCCCGGGCUCAACCUGGGAACUGCAUUCGAAACUGGCAGGCUAGAGUCUUGUAGAGGGGGGUAGAAUUCCAGGUGUAGCG
Molecule: ribosomal RNA, 333 nt
Filed under: uncultured bacterium
Lineage: Bacteria
Description: partial 16S ribosomal RNA
Rfam family: Bacterial small subunit ribosomal RNA
Source: RNAcentral